UUAAGUUCAGCGGGUAGUCCUACCUGAUUUGAGGUCAGACGACAUGAAAUUGUCCGAAGACGAUUAGAAGCAUCCUUACACGCGAGACGCGGAACGGCGCCAGAAGUAGACUUAUCACACCGUUGUGACCGAUCUCGCGACGGAACGCUAAUGCAUUUCAGGAGAGCCGACGGCCUUCGCCGCCAGCAACCCCCACGUCC
RNAcentral lists this unclassified non-coding RNA (200 nucleotides) under Ramaria sp. RNAcentral's name for it is "partial internal transcribed spacer 2". Lineage: Eukaryota; Fungi; Basidiomycota; Agaricomycetes; Gomphales; Gomphaceae. The record is from RNAcentral.